Molecule: unclassified non-coding RNA, 877 nt
Filed under: Hevea brasiliensis (rubber tree)
Lineage: Eukaryota; Viridiplantae; Streptophyta; Magnoliopsida; Malpighiales; Euphorbiaceae
Source: RNAcentral
AAAAAAAAAAAAAAAAAGAGAAGGAUUAAUUAAAUCCAAGACAUAGCAAAGGAAGCUUCCUGUUCAAUCUAAAUACUAUAUAAAGUAAACAAAACAAAUGACAAUUCAACUUUCCUGGUUUUAAAAAAGAAAGUACAAUUCAACUUGAGAAACAGCAAACAAAUACCAAUAGGAUUGAAUUACUUCCUCAAAAAACAAUCUUUUGAUCCAAAGAUGGGAAGGAUGAGAAAAGCUCAACCAGGAGACUUGUAGCUGGCUGUGCCCUAUAAAUGAGACAAUGAGAAGAGCAAAAAGCAGUGCAAGCAACUGCAUAAACAUUGCUUUUUGAUGGCGUUGCCAGGGAACCUCAGUGCACAAACUCCCUCCCCCAUUGAUUGGUCAUAACAAAGUAGCCUCACUUGUUUUAUUUGGAAGCAAAUCAAUCCAAUUUUCAACUAUACCAUCACUACUAGAAUUGUGAUAAAUAGAGCAAUAAAGUACCCCUCCUUUGUUUUUUCUGCAUAAUACAUUUGACAACAAAAAGAGACUAGGAAGCAAGAAACUAAUGCAACUAGACAGAUUGUUAUCUUACCAAUUUAACAAAUUAAAACCAAAAACGUUGAUUUAUUCCCAAAAGUUUGCUUCCAAUUUACAAACGCAAUUCAAUACAAAAACCUAUCCAGAAACGCCAAAAUACUAAACAUUAUCACUACCUGAUUAUGAACUAAAAUUAAAGUCCCUCAACAAAAUAAACACAUUGUUUAAAACUCUACCGGAUUAUAUAUAUAAAAAAAAAGCAAGUUAAUUAAAACACAAAAACAAUUUAGAACAUAAAAACCCUCACUCUGAUAGGCAAGGCAGCAGAAAUGUGAACGGAAUUAGAUUUAGAAUCAGCGGA